CAGCCGCCGCGGUAAUACGUAGGUGGCAAGCGUUAUCCGGAAUUAUUGGGCGUAAAGCGCGCGUAGGCGGUUUUUUAAGUCUGAUGUGAAAGCCCACGGCUCAACCGUGGAGGGUCAUUGGAAACUGGAAAACUUGAGUGCAGAAGAGGAAAGUGGAAUUCCAUGUGUAGCGGUGAAAUGCGCAGAGAUAUGGAGGAACACCAGUGGCGAAGGCGACUUUCUGGUCUGUAACUGACGCUGAGGUACGAAAGCAUGGGGAGCAAACAGGAUUAGAUACCCCGGUAGUCCCUGUCUCUUAUAC
RNAcentral lists this ribosomal RNA (301 nucleotides) under uncultured bacterium. Its description in RNAcentral is "partial 16S ribosomal RNA". It matches the Rfam family "Bacterial small subunit ribosomal RNA", at positions 509 to 807 of the family's 1533-position model. The record is from RNAcentral.